This 63-nucleotide transfer RNA is filed under the name Asymmetron sp. A TK-2007. RNAcentral's name for it is "tRNA-Lys". It matches the Rfam family "tRNA". From Rfam's summary of the family: Transfer RNA (tRNA) molecules are approximately 80 nucleotides in length. Their secondary structure includes four short double-helical elements and three loops (D, anti-codon, and T loops). The record is from RNAcentral. Lineage: Eukaryota; Metazoa; Chordata; Leptocardii; Amphioxiformes; Branchiostomatidae.
CAUUAAAUAGCUUAAUAUAAAGCGUUAACCUUUUAAGUUAAUGAUGAGAUAACUCUUUAAUGU